CGGAAGCUACUGCUAUUGGGAUUCGAUUAAGCCAUGCAAGUCGAAUGAAUUCAUAUUCAUGGCAUACGGCUCAGUAACACGUGGAUAACUUACCCUUAGGACUGGGAUAACUUUGGGAAACUGAAGAUAAUACUGGAUAUUAAGCUAUGCCUGCAAUGGUUUGCUUAUGAAACGUUUUUCGCCUAAGGAUAGAUCUGCGGCUGAUUAGGUCGUUGGUGGGGUAAAGGCCCACCAAGCCGAUGAUCGGUACGGGUUGUGAGAGCAAGAGCCCGGAGAUGGAACCUGAGACAAGGUUCCAGACCCUACGGGGUGCAGCAGGCGCGAAACCUCCACAAUGUACGAAAGUGCGAUGGGGGGAUCCCAAGUGCUAUUCUUAACAGAAUAGCUUUUCAUUAGUGUAAAAAGCUUUUAGA
This 413-nucleotide ribosomal RNA is filed under the name uncultured archaeon. RNAcentral describes it as "SSU rRNA". It matches the Rfam family "Archaeal small subunit ribosomal RNA", at positions 18 to 434 of the family's 1478-position model. The record is from RNAcentral.